GAUGAAGAACGUAGCGAAAUGCGAUAAGUAAUGUGAAUUGCAGAAUUCAGUGAAUCAUCGAAUCUUUGAACGCACAUUGCGCCCGCCAGUAUUCUGGCGGGCAUGCCUGUUCGAGCGUCAUUUCAACCAUCAAGCCCCGGGCUUGUGUUGGGGACCUGCGGCUGCCGCAGGCCCUGAAAUGCAGUGGCGGGCUCGCUGUCACUCCGAGCGUAGUAGUUACAUCUCGCUCUGGGCGUGCUGCGGGUUCCGGCCGUUAAAAGCCUUAUUUACCCAAGGUUGACCUCGGAUCAGGUAGGAAGACCCGCUGAACUUAAGCAUAUCGAUAAGCGGAGGA
Molecule: unclassified non-coding RNA, 334 nt
Filed under: soil metagenome
Description: partial contains 5.8S ribosomal RNA, internal transcribed spacer 2, and large subunit ribosomal RNA
Rfam family: 5.8S ribosomal RNA (bases 1-120)
Source: RNAcentral